Molecule: non-coding RNA, 98 nt
Organism: Cronartium quercuum f. sp. fusiforme G11
Lineage: Eukaryota; Fungi; Basidiomycota; Pucciniomycetes; Pucciniales; Coleosporiaceae
Source: the annotation of a GenBank genome assembly
GGACUCAUGGCCCAGUGGUAAGGCGCUCGCCUUCGAUAUAGGAUGAUGUGCCCUUCGCCGUAAGCGAGAGAUCGGCGGUUCGACCCCGUCUGAGUUCA